RNAcentral lists this ribosomal RNA (254 nucleotides) under uncultured bacterium. RNAcentral describes it as "partial 16S ribosomal RNA". It matches the Rfam family "Bacterial small subunit ribosomal RNA", at positions 524 to 776 of the family's 1533-position model. The record is from RNAcentral.
AACGUAGGGGACAAGCGUUAUCCGGAUUUACUGGGCGUAAAGGGCUCGUAGGCGGCCAACUAAGUCAGACGUGAAAUCCCUCGGCUUAACCGGGGAACUGCGUCUGAUACUGGAUGGCUUGAGUUUGGGAGAGGGAUGCGGAAUUCCAGGUGUAGCGGUGAAAUGCGUAGAUAUCUGGAGGAACACCGGUGGCGAAGGCGGCAUCCUGGACCAACACUGACGCUGAGUGAGCGAAAGCCAGGGGAGCAAACGGG